GGUAAAAGCCGGAGGAAGGUGAGGAUGAUGUCAAGUCAGCAUGACCUUUAUAUCCAGGGCUACACACACGCUACAAUGGUCUGUACAAUGGGUAGCCAAGCCGCGAGGCGGAGCCAAUCCUGAAAGCAGGCCUCAGUUCAGAUUGCAGUCUGCAACUCGACUGCAUGAAGCCGGAGUUGCUAGUAACCGCAGGUCAGCAAUACUGCGGUGAAUACGUUCCCGGGUCUU
Molecule: ribosomal RNA, 228 nt
Filed under: uncultured Anaerolineaceae bacterium
Lineage: Bacteria; Bacillati; Chloroflexota; Anaerolineae; Anaerolineales; Anaerolineaceae
Description: partial 16S ribosomal RNA
Rfam family: Bacterial small subunit ribosomal RNA
Source: RNAcentral